GCUAAGUACUUAUUCUUUUUCCUCUGAUAUUGGAAGUCAUCUAAGUGUAAAUAAUCAUGCCAAUUUAUUCUAAUAAUGCAAAAGUUUACUUUUGGUGGGGGAAUGGAGAGAUGGGAAUUCAGGCCCUCCAGGAUAGUUAAGGAUUUUCCCUUUCUUCUGGUGUGCUCUGGGACAAAAGCAGAACAGCCUUGGAACUGGGGAAAGAGAGAUGGUAGGAGAAGAAACUGGCAGCUGGCCUGCAAGAGAUCCUCCAGAUUGAGAUCUGGUAACUCAAUUCUAAGUCAGCUGCUUGGCUUGUUCCUCAUGAUUAACGUGUCACCUUGGGACACUUUUGUGAGCGAAAAGGGAUGCUAUUAAGGAAUGACGUGGGAAAGCAGAUAUGAACCCGGGCUGCCCUGUGCCAACUGGACAUUUGACCGCUCCACUUAGGAUCAAGCAGAACCCAGCAGCAAUGAAUGAUCACAAUCACGGUGCGAUUUCAUUGAGGGUUUCCAAGGGAUGCUUAUGAUGCCAUUGGGCCCGUCCAGAUAAUCCAGGACUAUCUCCCCAUCUCAAGCAGAACCAUGGGAAGAUGGAGGAAACACCUUCAAGAAGGAGAAGCCCUGAAACUGUGAACUUGACAGUAACUUGAAUCUGACUGCAUAUUUACCCAAGAGAGACUAAAUUUUAAACCAGAAGUAUCUGAAGCAUUAUGAGGUUGAACUGGAAUGCCAUAAAAUGAGCUGUCUUC
Molecule: long non-coding RNA, 730 nt
Organism: Manis pentadactyla (Chinese pangolin)
Lineage: Eukaryota; Metazoa; Chordata; Mammalia; Pholidota; Manidae
Exons: 4
Source: RefSeq, a predicted model, not a curated record